UCCGGUUUGUCACCGGCAGUCUCGCUAAAGUGCCCAACUUAAUGAUGGCAAUUAACGACAAGGGUUGCGCUCGUUGCGGGACUUAACCCAACAUCUCACGACACGAGCUGACGACAGCCAUGCAGCACCUGUGUCCAGGUUCCCUUUCGGGCACAAUCCCAUCUCUGGAACCUUCCUGGCAUGUCAAGGGUAGGUAAGGUUUUUCGCGUUGCAUCGAAUUAAUCCACAUCAUCCACCGCUUGUGCGGGUCCCCGUCAAUUCCUUUGAGUUUUAAUCUUGCGACCGUACUCCCCAGGCGGUCAACUUCACGCGUUAGCUGCGGUACUAAGAAAGUCUCCUUCCCCAACACCUAGUUGACAUCGUUUAGGGCGUGGACUAC
This 379-nucleotide unclassified non-coding RNA is filed under the name uncultured Gammaproteobacteria bacterium. RNAcentral's name for it is "contains 16S-23S intergenic spacer region". The record is from RNAcentral. Lineage: Bacteria; Pseudomonadati; Pseudomonadota; Gammaproteobacteria.